Molecule: ribosomal RNA, 158 nt
Filed under: uncultured bacterium
Lineage: Bacteria
Description: partial 16S ribosomal RNA
Rfam family: Bacterial small subunit ribosomal RNA
Source: RNAcentral
AAUGGCAGGUCAGCAUACUGCCGUGAAUACUUCCCGGGCCUUGUACACACCGCCCGUCACACCAUGAGAGUUGGAAAUACCCGAAGCCUGUGAGCUAACUUAAAGAGGCAGCAGUCGAAGGUAGAGCCAAUGAUUGGGUGAAGUCGUAACAAGGUAAC